Molecule: ribosomal RNA, 373 nt
Filed under: uncultured bacterium
Lineage: Bacteria
Description: bacterial SSU rRNA
Rfam family: Bacterial small subunit ribosomal RNA
Source: RNAcentral
UAAUACGGAGGAUCCAAGCGUUAUCCGGAUUCAUUGGGUUUAAAGGGUGCGUAGGCGGAAUAGUAAGUCAGUGGUGAAAUCCUGUCGCUUAACGACAGAACUGCCAUUGAUACUGCUAAUCUUGAGUACAUUUGAAGUGGGCGGAAUGUGUAGUGUAGUGGUGAAAUACUUAGAUAUUACACAGAACACCGAUUGCGAAGGCAGCUCACUAAACUGUAACUGACGCUGAGGCACGAAAGCGUGGGGAUCAAACAGGAUUAGAUACCCUGGUAGUCCACGCUGUAAACGUUGAUAACUCGUUGUUGGCGAUAUACUGUCAGCGACUAAGCGAAAGUGAUAAGUUAUCCACCUGGGGAGUACGGUCGCAAGAUUG